GUUUCUUUGUGAUUUUUUUGAGUGGUUUAAAUAGAAAUAAAAACCUACGAUAACGAAGGAGUGGUGAAUUUCUUUCUGCUCGUAAACGGUAAGUCGCUUAAUCCGCCACUGCUAACCGUUGAUAGUGUUCCGAAGAAUAGUUACAGUGUCCGGAGAGUGAAAAUACUGUAUGAUCUAGUUAGUACCUAUGACAAACCACGGUGGGCCCAAAUGAUGCGAGGGUAAAAAACCACCGAUGAGCGGAUGAGAAAGGUGUUAAGUUUAAGAGCAUAUGCCGUACGCCUUAUGUGCUGUCUCCGUCAUAGCAAAAACGUCCUUACGCAGAGUAGAACUGGCUUAAUUUCGGUUUUAGAGCGAAAACACCUGAUGAAAUAUUGAAAAAGGACAAUGUUUUGGAGGUUUUGACGAAGAGUGAGUGUGUGACAAAGUACUUCAAAGUCCGAUGACAAAAUGUCCACGGGAUCAAGCAUAUUAUAUUAUGUAUACCGAGUGAACUGACUACGGGUGACGUUACAUUCGAGGCGGGAAAAACUCGUGCGUUCAAGCGUUGGUUGUCCGGCAUACAGCUAAACAGAAAACCGAAAACUUCAAAAAAAUAAAACAACCGUCACAUCGACGACCGAAUGUGUUGCACCUAUAAAAAAUAAAAAAACUCGGUGGCUCGUUCGCGGGUUGUGGGUAGACGACGUGGAGUAAACGCAUAUACACACACGCGCGCGAUCACAAUGGACCAAGAAAGCCGUUCCCAGUUUUUUUUUUUUUUUUUUUUUUUUUUUUUUUAAUAGCUAUACU
This is a non-coding RNA of Cinara cedri, 792 nucleotides long. Lineage: Eukaryota; Metazoa; Arthropoda; Insecta; Hemiptera; Aphididae. The record is from the annotation of a GenBank genome assembly.